Molecule: ribosomal RNA, 481 nt
Filed under: uncultured bacterium
Lineage: Bacteria
Description: partial 16S ribosomal RNA
Rfam family: Bacterial small subunit ribosomal RNA
Source: RNAcentral
GAUGAACGCUGGCGGCGUGCUUAACACAUGCAAGUCGAACGAAGCAUUUAGGACAGAUUACUUCGGUUUGAAGUUCUUUAUGACUGAGUGGCGGACGGGUGAGUAACGCGUGGGUAACCUGCCUUGUACUGGGGGAUAGCAGCUGGAAACGGCUGGUAAUACCGCAUAAGCGCACAAUGUUGCAUGACAUGGUGUGAAAAACUCCGGUGGUAUAAGAUGGACCCGCGUCUGAUUAGCUAGUUGGUGAGAUAACAGCCCACCAAGGCGACGAUCAGUAGCCGACCUGAGAGGGUGACCGGCCACAGUGGGACUGAGACACGGCCCAGACUCCUACGGGAGUCAGCAGUGGGGAAUAUUGCACAAUGGAGGAAACUCUGAUGCGGCGACGCCGCGUGAGUGAAGAAGUAAUUCGUUAUGUAAAGCUCUAUCAGCAGGGAAGAUAGUGACGGUACCUGACUAAGAAGCUCCGGCUAAAUACGUG